This is an unclassified non-coding RNA of Apteryx haastii (Great spotted kiwi), 168 nucleotides long. NCBI's taxonomy places the organism in Eukaryota, Metazoa, Chordata, Aves, Apterygiformes, Apterygidae. The record is from Ensembl.
CUGCCAGACCUGGAAACUUCUGUUUACUGACCGGACAGGUAGAAAACAGCCAGUAGCAAAGCAGACAUGCCCACACUGCCCUCUUCAUGGGUCUUCACCCUCAUCCGAAGUAGCCAUCUCUAGGGAUGAGAGGAUAGUUUUCAGGCCGCUUAGCAUCUGGUCUCUUGC